This 686-nucleotide ribosomal RNA is filed under the name Buttiauxella sp. Its description in RNAcentral is "bacterial SSU rRNA". It matches the Rfam family "Bacterial small subunit ribosomal RNA", at positions 57 to 734 of the family's 1533-position model. Lineage: Bacteria; Pseudomonadati; Pseudomonadota; Gammaproteobacteria; Enterobacterales; Enterobacteriaceae. The record is from RNAcentral.
GCAAGUCGAGCGGUAACACAGGGAGCUUGCUCCUGGGUGACGAGCGGCGGACGGGUGAGUAAUGUCUGGGAAACUGCCUGAUGGAGGGGGAUAACUACUGGAAACGGUAGCUAAUACCGCAUAACGUCGCAAGACCAAAGAGGGGGACCUUCGGGCCUCUUGCCAUCAGAUGUGCCCAGAUGGGAUUAGCUAGUAGGUGGGGUAACGGCUCACCUAGGCGACGAUCCCUAGCUGGUCUGAGAGGAUGACCAGCCACACUGGAACUGAGACACGGUCCAGACUCCUACGGGAGGCAGCAGUGGGGAAUAUUGCACAAUGGGCGCAAGCCUGAUGCAGCCAUGCCGCGUGUAUGAAGAAGGCCUUCGGGUUGUAAAGUACUUUCAGCGAGGAGGAAGGCAUUAAGGUUAAUAACCUUAGUGAUUGACGUUACUCGCAGAAGAAGCACCGGCUAACUCCGUGCCAGCAGCCGCGGUAAUACGGAGGGUGCAAGCGUUAAUCGGAAUUACUGGGCGUAAAGCGCACGCAGGCGGUCUGUCAAGUCGGAUGUGAAAUCCCCGGGCUCAACCUGGGAACUGCAUUCGAAACUGGCAGGCUAGAGUCUUGUAGAGGGGGGUAGAAUUCCAGGUGUAGCGGUGAAAUGCGUAGAGAUCUGGAGGAAUACCGGUGGCGAAGGCGGCCCCCUGGAC